Molecule: ribosomal RNA, 197 nt
Filed under: uncultured bacterium
Lineage: Bacteria
Description: partial 16S ribosomal RNA
Rfam family: Bacterial small subunit ribosomal RNA
Source: RNAcentral
ACGCUCGACACCUACGGGAGGCAGCAGUGGGGAAUAUUGCACAAUGGGGGAAACCCUGAUGCAGCGACGCCGCGUGAAGGAAGAAGUAUCUCGGUAUGUAAACUUCUAUCAGCAGGGAANAAAUGACGGUACCUGACUAAGAAGCCCCGGCUAACUACGUGCCAACAGCCGCGGUAAUCUGAGCGGGCUGGCAAGGC